Molecule: ribosomal RNA, 253 nt
Filed under: uncultured bacterium
Lineage: Bacteria
Description: partial 16S ribosomal RNA
Rfam family: Bacterial small subunit ribosomal RNA
Source: RNAcentral
UACGUAGGGGGCAAGCGUUGUCCGGAAUUACUAGGCGUAAAGGGUUCGUAGGUGGUGCGGCAAGUUGGAAGUGAAAUCUCUGGGCUUAACCCAGAGGCUGCUUUCAAAACUGCCGUGCUCGAGUGCGAGAGAGGUCAGUGGAAUUGCAGGUGUAGCGGUGAAAUGCGUAGAUAUCUGCAGGAACACCCGUGGCGAAGGCGGCUGACUGGAUCGCAACUGACACUGAGGAGCGAAAGCUAGGGGAGCAAACAGG